GACGAACGCUGGCGGCGUGCCUAAUACAUGCAAGUCGAGCGAGCUGAACCAACAGAUUUACUUCGGUAAUGACGUUGGGAACGCGAGCGGCGGAUGGGUGAGUAACACGUGGGGAACCUGCCCCUCAGUCUGGGAUACCACUUGGAAACAGGUGCUAAUACCGGAUAAUAAAGCAGAUCGCAUGAUCAGCUUUUGAAAGGCGGCGUAAGCUGUCGCUAAGGGAUGGCCCCGCGGUGCAUUAGCUAGUUGGUAGGGUAACGGCCUACCAAGGCAAUGAUGCAUAGCCGAGUUGAGAGACUGAUCGGCCACAUUGGGACUGAGACACGGCCCAAACUCCUACGGGAGGCAGCAGUAGGGAAUCUUCCACAAUGGACGAAAGUCUGAUGGAGCAACGCCGCGUGAGUGAAGAAGGUUUUCGGAUCGUAAAGCUCUGUUGUUGGGAAGAAGGAUA
Molecule: ribosomal RNA, 451 nt
Filed under: Lactobacillus sp. oral taxon H25
Lineage: Bacteria; Bacillati; Bacillota; Bacilli; Lactobacillales; Lactobacillaceae
Description: bacterial SSU rRNA
Rfam family: Bacterial small subunit ribosomal RNA
Source: RNAcentral